Molecule: long non-coding RNA, 427 nt
Organism: Anopheles cruzii
Lineage: Eukaryota; Metazoa; Arthropoda; Insecta; Diptera; Culicidae
Exons: 3
Source: RefSeq, a predicted model, not a curated record
AUGGAUACAGGCCAGAAAGAGAGAUCAAGCGAGAAAUAUUUUCUGUCUUCUUCGCACUAUAGAGCCGCAUUAUAAUGCGGCACUUCACGGAACGUUCCAAGCUGCCAAAAUGUACGCUUCAUUUUCUUGGUUUAGAUUCGCGGUGUGAACGAAAAUUAUUGUGCGCGAAAAUCUUGUAAAAUAGAUAAUUUAAAGCAUCUGUUUAUUACGGUUUUAUUAUUGUUCUGGGGCAACACUUCAGUGAGCAGGGACUUUGGCGCGGAGCGUUCCGGUGCAUUACGGUAACAACGCGUCAGAUUGGCAACAGCGCGUCAUUUCGAUGCGACGUAAUUUUUUCAGAUGCCUUCCCAAGCCAACCAUUGCCUUUGACAUUGAAUGCCAACGAUGGAGCGGACAAUGCUGUGCGGACAAUGCUGUGCGGACAAUG